This 1552-nucleotide ribosomal RNA is filed under the name Escherichia coli. RNAcentral describes it as "bacterial SSU rRNA". It matches the Rfam family "Bacterial small subunit ribosomal RNA". Lineage: Bacteria; Pseudomonadati; Pseudomonadota; Gammaproteobacteria; Enterobacterales; Enterobacteriaceae. The record is from RNAcentral.
AAAUUGAAGAGUUUGAUCAUGGCUCAGAUUGAACGCUGGCGGCAGGCCUAACACAUGCAAGUCGAACGGUAACAGGAAGAAGCUUGCUUCUUUGCUGACGAGUGGCGGACGGGUGAGUAAUGUCUGGGAAACUGCCUGAUGGAGGGGGAUAACUACUGGAAACGGUAGCUAAUACCGCAUAACGUCGCAAGACCAAAGAGGGGGACCUUCGGGCCUCUUGCCAUCGGAUGUGCCCAGAUGGGAUUAGCUUGUUGGUGGGGUAACGGCUCACCAAGGCGACGAUCCCUAGCUGGUCUGAGAGGAUGACCAGCCACACUGGAACUGAGACACGGUCCAGACUCCUACGGGAGGCAGCAGUGGGGAAUAUUGCACAAUGGGCGCAAGCCUGAUGCAGCCAUGCCGCGUGUAUGAAGAAGGCCUUCGGGUUGUAAAGUACUUUCAGCGGGGAGGAAGGGAGUAAAGUUAAUACCUUUGCUCAUUGACGUUACCCGCAGAAGAAGCACCGGCUAACUCCGUGCCAGCAGCCGCGGUAAUACGGAGGGUGCAAGCGUUAAUCGGAAUUACUGGGCGUAAAGCGCACGCAGGCGGUUUGUUAAGUCAGAUGUGAAAUCCCCGGGCUCAACCUGGGAACUGCAUCUGAUACUGGCAAGCUUGAGUCUCGUAGAGGGGGGUAGAAUUCCAGGUGUAGCGGUGAAAUGCGUAGAGAUCUGGAGGAAUACCGGUGGCGAAGGCGGCCCCCUGGACGAAGACUGACGCUCAGGUGCGAAAGCGUGGGGAGCAAACAGGAUUAGAUACCCUGGUAGUCCACGCCGUAAACGAUGUCGACUUGGAGGUUGUGCCCUUGAGGCGUGGCUUCCGGAGCUAACGCGUUAAGUCGACCGCCUGGGGAGUACGGCCGCAAGGUUAAAACUCAAAUGAAUUGACGGGGGCCCGCACAAGCGGUGGAGCAUGUGGUUUAAUUCGAUGCAACGCGAAGAACCUUACCUGGUCUUGACAUCCACAGAACUUUCCAGAGAUGGAUUGGUGCCUUCGGGAACUGUGAGACAGGUGCUGCAUGGCUGUCGUCAGCUCGUGUUGUGAAAUGUUGGGUUAAGUCCCGCAACGAGCGCAACCCUUAUCCUUUGUUGCCAGCGGUCCGGCCGGGAACUCAAAGGAGACUGCCAGUGAUAAACUGGAGGAAGGUGGGGAUGACGUCAAGUCAUCAUGGCCCUUACGACCAGGGCUACACACGUGCUACAAUGGCGCAUACAAAGAGAAGCGACCUCGCGAGAGCAAGCGGACCUCAUAAAGUGCGUCGUAGUCCGGAUUGGAGUCUGCAACUCGACUCCAUGAAGUCGGAAUCGCUAGUAAUCGUGGAUCAGAAUGCCACGGUGAAUACGUUCCCGGGCCUUGUACACACCGCCCGUCACACCAUGGGAGUGGGUUGCAAAAGAAGUAGGUAGCUUAACCUUCGGGAGGGCGCUUACCACUUUGUGAUUCAUGACUGGGGUGAAGUCGUAACAAGGUAACCGUAGGGGAACCUGCGGUUGGAUCACCUCCUUACCUUAAAGAA